RNAcentral lists this ribosomal RNA (325 nucleotides) under uncultured bacterium. RNAcentral's name for it is "bacterial SSU rRNA". It matches the Rfam family "Bacterial small subunit ribosomal RNA", at positions 27 to 340 of the family's 1533-position model. The record is from RNAcentral.
GGAUGAACGCUAGCGGCAGGCUUAACACAUGCAAGUCGAGGGGCAGCAUGACGGAACUUUCGGGUUUUGUUGAUGGCGACCGGCGCAAGGGUGCGUAACGCGUGAGCAACUUGCCCGUUUCUGGGGAAUAACCCGUUGGAAACGACGACUAAUACCCCCAUGGUAUCAGGUUCAGGCAUCUAUAUCUGAUUAAAGAAUUUCGGAAACGGAUAGGCUCGCGUGACAUUAGCUAGAUGGCGGGGUAACGGCCCACCAUGGCGACGAUGUCUAGGGGUUCUGAGAGGAAGGUCCCCCACACUGGAACUGAGACACGGUCCAGACUCCU